This 508-nucleotide ribosomal RNA is filed under the name uncultured bacterium. Its description in RNAcentral is "bacterial SSU rRNA". It matches the Rfam family "Bacterial small subunit ribosomal RNA", at positions 19 to 518 of the family's 1533-position model. The record is from RNAcentral.
CUGGCUCAGGAUGAACGCUAGCUACAGGCUUAACACAUGCAAGUCGAGGGGCAGCAUAUCGAAAGCUUGCUUUGAUGAUGGCGACCGGCGCACGGGUGAGUAACGCGUAUCCAACCUUCCCUAUACUAGAGGAUAGCCCGGCGAAAGUCGGAUUAAUACUCUAUGUUCUUCGUAGAAGACAUCUGAAAUGAAGCAAAGGUUUACCGGUAUAGGAUGGGGAUGCGUCUGAUUAGGUUGUUGGCGGGGUAACGGCCCACCAAGCCCACGAUCAGUAGGGUUCUGAGAGGAAGGUCCCCCACAUUGGAACUGAGACACGGUCCAAACUCCUACGGGAGGCAGCAGUGAGGAAUAUUGGUCAAUGGACGAGAGUCUGAACCAGCCAAGUAGCGUGCAGGAUGACGGCCCUAUGGGUUGUAAACUGCUUUUAUACAGGGAUAAAGUGACGUACGUGUACGUUUUUGUAGGUACUGUAUGAAUAAGGACCGGCUAAUUCCGUGCCAGCAGCGGC